Molecule: long non-coding RNA, 876 nt
Filed under: Zostera marina
Lineage: Eukaryota; Viridiplantae; Streptophyta; Magnoliopsida; Alismatales; Zosteraceae
Description: long non-coding RNA (ZMAR_LNC002515)
Source: RNAcentral
UUUACUGUUACUCUACGGAAUUAUUAUUUCUCCUCUGUACUCUAUUUCCUUUUCUGUUAAUGUAAUCGUUUUACUCGUUCUGUUAAGAGUAUUUGUUAUAUCUCCGUUUUUUGAUCCAGUUUUCUGCGCGUAUAUCGUUUGUAUCCUCUAGGUUGUAUUUCUUAUCUGGUUGUUCUUCUUGUCUAUUUAAAUCUGACCAUGUAUCUUCUUGAAUCUUAUCCUUGUCGGUCUUUUAUUUAUUUCUAAUUCGUCCUUGAAUAUUAGUUUUGUAUAUAUUCUUCGUUCUCGAAGAUGCUGGACCGAUGUUGAAUCUUAUUUUUGAAUUAUAUAUUUUGCGUUCAAAAUUUAUAUAUUCCGAUUCUAUAUUCUAUUUCUUGGUAAUUUAUUUCGAUCUGCUAUACUAUGUCGUUCUAGAUCAGUCUGUUUCGUCGUCGCGCGAUUCGACAUAGUAAUUGUACCUCUUAGUACGCUGUUUUGUAAUCUAUUUUCCUUUUUUUUGUGUGUUAUAUGUGUUUUUCACUGAUUACUUUCUUCUUCUUGUUUACUGUAGGAAUUUUUUUAAUCUCUCCGAGGUAAUCCGACUUUCGGAUGCGCUGUUGCUGAAAUUUUCAGACAAUGAGUGAUCUAUCACCAUCAUCUCUUAAUGCCGUUCAGCCAACUACUGAUUCGUUCACACUUUUUGGUCAUAGAAUUAUAUCAGUUAUUCCAAACUGUAAUAUUGCAAUUGUUGAUGAUGCUUACAGUACAUUAUCGUUUAUUUGUUAGGGCGUAGAUUGAAGAAGAAAAAUUCAUUAUCAUUUGAAGAUCGUUGUUGUUAUCUCCAACAACUUCCUCAAAGGUUGUUUCUUUGUAGUUAUGUUCGGGGCGCUAAGAAUU